Paramuricea clavata is the source of this 522-nucleotide non-coding RNA. The record is from the annotation of a GenBank genome assembly. NCBI's taxonomy places the organism in Eukaryota, Metazoa, Cnidaria, Anthozoa, Malacalcyonacea, Plexauridae.
CACGGAAAUAUGACUUUUAUUUUCGAGUGGUGAAAAUAAUAUUUUACGAACGAGCGCAGCGAGUGAGUAAAAUAUUGUUUUCAACACGAGAAAAUAAAAGUCAUAUUUCCAAAGCCACCGUGAAAUGUUCUUUUUAUUAUAUGGAUAAAAGUUGAAGCAAAAACAACAAAACGUAUGACUUUAUUAGUUUAUUCAAGUUUUGUUUUUUGUUUUGUAUCUCACCGUACGGCAACAAUGUUUAUGCCUCUCCGCUUGCUAAUCGAGGCUAAAUAGUCGCUGAAGAUCGCCAAAUGGGACUAAUUAGUCUUCCCUUUUGUGUUUUCAUUUUCUUCAGAAAACCUUGCCAAAUCAGCGUCGAAAACAUCAACAAAAUGUCGAGAAGUUAUCAUAUUGUAUAUUCAAAACAGAAACGGCAAAAUGGCGGGAAUUAGCGUGGGUCCCGCGCGAGACGUUCCCGCGUAAGAUAUGAUUUCAUAUUUCACUAUAGUGAAAUACGGAAAAUAUCAGUGGCGUAUUUUACGG